RNAcentral lists this ribosomal RNA (590 nucleotides) under Vibrio parahaemolyticus. RNAcentral's name for it is "bacterial SSU rRNA". It matches the Rfam family "Bacterial small subunit ribosomal RNA", at positions 1 to 570 of the family's 1533-position model. The record is from RNAcentral. Lineage: Bacteria; Pseudomonadati; Pseudomonadota; Gammaproteobacteria; Vibrionales; Vibrionaceae.
AAAUUGAAGAGUUUGAUCAUGGCUCAGAUUGAACGCUGGCGGCAGGCCUAACACAUGCAAGUCGAGCGGAAACGAGUUAUCUGAACCUUCGGGGAAUGAUAACGGCGUCGAGCGGCGGACGGGUGAGUAAUGCCUAGGAAAUUGCCCUGAUGUGGGGGAUAACCAUUGGAAACGAUGGCUAAUACCGCAUGAUGCCUACGGGCCAAAGAGGGGGACCUUCGGGCCUCUCGCGUCAGGAUAUGCCUAGGUGGGAUUAGCUAGUUGGUGAGGUAAGGGCUCACCAAGGCGACGAUCCCUAGCUGGUCUGAGAGGAUGAUCAGCCACACUGGAACUGAGACACGGUCCAGACUCCUACGGGAGGCAGCAGUGGGGAAUAUUGCACAAUGGGCGCAAGCCUGAUGCAGCCAUGCCGCGUGUGUGAAGAAGGCCUUCGGGUUGUAAAGCACUUUCAGUCGUGAGGAAGGUAGUGUAGUUAAUAGCUGCAUUAUUUGACGUUAGCGACAGAAGAAGCACCGGCUAACUCCGUGCCAGCAGCCGCGGUAAUACGGAGGGUGCGAGCGUUAAUCGGAAUUACUGGGCGUAAAGCGCAU